This 446-nucleotide ribosomal RNA is filed under the name uncultured bacterium. Its description in RNAcentral is "SSU rRNA". It matches the Rfam family "Bacterial small subunit ribosomal RNA", at positions 26 to 518 of the family's 1533-position model. The record is from RNAcentral.
AGAGCGAACGCUGGCGGCAUGCUUAACACAUGCAAGUCGCACGGUCAGCAAUGGCAGUGGCGGACGGGUGAGUAACGCGUAGGUAUCUAUCCACGGGUGGGGGACAACGUCGGGAAACUGACGCUAAUACCGCAUGAUACCCGAGGGUCAAAGGCGCAAGUCGCCUGUGGAGGAGCCUGCGUACGAUUAGCUUGUUGGUGGGGUAAAGGCCUACCAAGGCGACGAUCGUUAGCUGGUCUGAGAGGAUGAUCAGCCACAUUGGGACUGAGACACGGCCCAAACUCCUACGGGAGGCAGCAGUGGGGAAUAUUGGACAAUGGGCGAAAGCCUGAUCCAGCAAUGCCGCGUGUGUGAAGAAGGUCUUCGGAUUGUAAAGCACUUUCGGCGGGGACGAUGAUGACGGUACCCGCAGAAGAAGCCCCGGCUAACUUCGCGCCAGCAGCCGC